GACGAACGCUGGCGGCGUGCUUAACACAUGCAAGUCGAACGGAAAGGCCCUGCUUGCCGGGUACUCGAGUGGCGAACGGGUGAGUAACACGUGGGUGAUCUGCCCUGCACUUCGGGAUAAGCUUGGGAAACUGGGUCUAAUACCGGAUAGGAGCCAUCUUUAGUGUGGUGGUUGGAAAGUUUUUUCGGUGUAGGAUGAGCUCGCGGCCUAUCAGCUUGUUGGUGGGGUAAUGGCCUACCAAGGCGGCGACGGGUAGCCGGCCUGAGAGGGUGUACGGCCACAUGGGGACUGAGAUACGGCCCAGACUCCUACGGGAGGCAGCAGUGGGGAAUAUUGCACAAUGGGCGCAAGCCUGAUGCAGCGACGCCGCGUGGGGGAUGAAGGCCUUCGGGUUGUAAACUCCUUUCGCUAGGGACGAAGCUUUUUUGUGACGGUACCUAGAUAAGAAGCACCGGCUAACUACGUG
This 466-nucleotide ribosomal RNA is filed under the name uncultured bacterium. RNAcentral's name for it is "partial 16S ribosomal RNA". It matches the Rfam family "Bacterial small subunit ribosomal RNA", at positions 28 to 507 of the family's 1533-position model. The record is from RNAcentral.